This 241-nucleotide ribosomal RNA is filed under the name uncultured bacterium. RNAcentral describes it as "partial 16S ribosomal RNA". It matches the Rfam family "Bacterial small subunit ribosomal RNA", at positions 524 to 765 of the family's 1533-position model. The record is from RNAcentral.
UACGUAGGGUGCGAGCGUUAAUCGGAAUACUGGGCGUAAAGCGUGCGCAGGCGGUGAUGUAGAACAGAUGUGAAAAUCCCCCGGGCUCAACCCUGGGAACUGCAUUUGUGACUGCAUCGCUGGAGUGCGGCAGAGGGGAUGGAAUUCCGCGUGUAGCAGUGAAAUGCGUAGAGAUGUGGAGGAAUACCGAUGGCGAAGGCAGCCCCUGGAUAACACUGACGCUCAUGCACGAAAGCGUGGG